This 70-nucleotide transfer RNA is filed under the name Vulcanisaeta moutnovskia 768-28. Its description in RNAcentral is "tRNA-Asn (GTT) (tRNA-Asn-GTT-2-1)". The stretch from base 8 to 66 matches the Rfam family "tRNA", at positions 8 to 63 of the family's 71-position model. From Rfam's summary of the family: Transfer RNA (tRNA) molecules are approximately 80 nucleotides in length. The record is from RNAcentral. Lineage: Archaea; Thermoproteati; Thermoproteota; Thermoprotei; Thermoproteales; Thermoproteaceae.
ACCUCGGUAGCUCAGCCAGGUAGAGCGGCGGGCUGUUAACUCGUAGGUUCCGAGUUCGAAUCCCGCGGAC